ACAUCGGAAUUUAAUUCUGUCGUGGGGGAUAACGUAGGGAAACUUACGCUAAUACCGCAUACGACCUACGGGUGAAAGCAGGGGACCUUCGGGCCUUGCGCGAUUGAAUGAGCCGAUGUCGGAUUAGCUAGUUGGCGGGGUAAAGGCCCACCAAGGCGACGAUCCGUAGCUGGUCUGAGAGGAUGAUCAGCCACACUGGAACUGAGACACGGUCCAGACUCCUACGGGAGGCAGCAGUGGGGAAUAUUGGACAAUGGGCGCAAGCCUGAUCCAGCCAUACCGCGUGGGUGAAGAAGGCCUUCGGGUUGUAAAGCACUUUUGUCCGGAAAGAAAUCGCGCUGGUUAAUACCUGGCGUGGAUGACGGUACCGGNAGAAUAAG
This 380-nucleotide ribosomal RNA is filed under the name uncultured bacterium. RNAcentral describes it as "bacterial SSU rRNA". It matches the Rfam family "Bacterial small subunit ribosomal RNA", at positions 115 to 490 of the family's 1533-position model. The record is from RNAcentral.